CGGCGGACGGGUGAGUAAUGCCUAGGAAUCUGCCUGGUAGUGGGGGACAACGUUUCGAAAGGAACGCUAAUACCGCAUACGUCCUACGGGAGAAAGUGGGGGAUCUUCGGACCUCACGCUAUCAGAUGAGCCUAGGUCGGAUUAGCUAGUUGGUGAGGUAAAGGCUCACCAAGGCGACGAUCCGUAACUGGUCUGAGAGGAUGAUCAGUCACACUGGAACUGAGACACGGUCCAG
This 235-nucleotide ribosomal RNA is filed under the name uncultured bacterium. Its description in RNAcentral is "partial 16S ribosomal RNA". It matches the Rfam family "Bacterial small subunit ribosomal RNA", at positions 96 to 334 of the family's 1533-position model. The record is from RNAcentral.